RNAcentral lists this ribosomal RNA (243 nucleotides) under Triticum aestivum (bread wheat). Its description in RNAcentral is "partial small subunit ribosomal RNA". The record is from RNAcentral. Lineage: Eukaryota; Viridiplantae; Streptophyta; Magnoliopsida; Poales; Poaceae.
AUGCAUGGCGCGAUGGGCAUGCAGGUGAGGGUGUACACGCCGAAGCGGCUGUUCCAGCAGAGUCCGCCCUGGUCGUCCGUCGCCUUUUCCUUUGCCAGAUGCAUUGGUAGAUCGGACGCCGCUGCCUUAGGGUGGCGCAUUGACGCCGUCGCCGGGAACGGAGGUGGGUGCUCUCUUCUCGACUUACUCUGUUCCGCCGGGGUCUUGAUUCUCUCUGCGCUCUUGGCUUCUCCUCCUAGGUGA